RNAcentral lists this ribosomal RNA (255 nucleotides) under uncultured bacterium. Its description in RNAcentral is "partial 16S ribosomal RNA". It matches the Rfam family "Bacterial small subunit ribosomal RNA", at positions 524 to 776 of the family's 1533-position model. The record is from RNAcentral.
UACAGAGGGUGCAAGCGUUGUUCGGAAUUAUUGGGCGUAAAGGGCGCGUAGGCGGCGCGACAAGUCACCUGUGAAAUCUCCGAGCUUAACUCGGAGCCUGCAGGCGAAACUGUCGUGCUGGAGUAUGGGAGAGGUGCGUGGAAUUCCCGGUCGUAGCGGUGAAAUGACGUAGAUAUCGGGAGGAACACCUGUGGCGAAAGCGGCGCACUGGACCAUAACUGACGCUGAGGCGCGAAAGCUAGGGGAGCAAACAGG